Molecule: long non-coding RNA, 965 nt
Filed under: Citrus maxima (pomelo)
Lineage: Eukaryota; Viridiplantae; Streptophyta; Magnoliopsida; Sapindales; Rutaceae
Description: long non-coding RNA (CMAX_LNC000329)
Source: RNAcentral
UACUCUGCCACAUAUAAGAAAGAUUAGAGCCUAAAUCUACAUGGAAAAAAAGGGUUGUGCCGAAAAUUUCUAGUUCAAAACACCCUUGAAACCAGCAAAUCAUCAUAAAACAACAACCGCCACCCUUGCUUAGUCAGCAUGGCUUGGUUAAAACAAAAAAGAGUGCUGCUAAACAUCGGGAACCUUGAGAGAACCCUGAGAGAAAUGGCAGCUUGUGCUGCCGUUUCGUUCUUUCACCUUCCCCCCCCCCCCCCCCCCCCAACAUGACUAAGAGAAAUAUGUCCCCCAUGUGAAAAAGACUCCCUUUCAACUCCUUUUCCUUCUUCGCUUUCACAGCUCCGUUCCAGUACUCCCUUUCAACUCCUUUUCCUUUCUAUUUUCAACUCCUUCUCCAGCACUCCCACAUGAACUCCAACUCCUUUUCCUUUUGUUCACUCCAACAGCAACUCACUUCGUCUCAGCCUUCCCGACAUUACAGCAGCUUCGUCUCCGUCUGUCUCCCUAGCUUCGUCUCCGUCUUCUCUCGCUCCAGAUCUAAUUAGUGGUCGCUGCUAUCGGUGGUCGAAAACGAGUUUCCUCUCACUCCCUCCCCCCUCUUACUCUGUUUUUCCUCUCACUCCAGCAGCAGCUUCGUCUCAGCCUUCCCGACGUUACAACAGCUUCGUCUCCAUCUCCCCAGCUUCGUCUCCGUCUUCUCUCGAUCCAUAUCUAAUCGGUGGUCGCUGCUGUCGGUGGUCGGUGGUCACUCUCUCCGUUUAGUUGGUAAUUAUUUUUUGAUAAUUAAUUUAUGAUAAUUGUUGGUAAUUUUGUUUGGUAAUUAUUUUGUUGAGUGAUUAUUUUGUUGGGAAUUAUUUUGGUAAUUGUAUUGUUGAUAAUUAUUUUAAUAAUUAAUUUAUGAUAAUUGUUGGUAAUUUUGUUUGGUAAUUAUUUUGUAGAGUGAUUAUUUUGUUGGGAAUUAUUUUGGU